Molecule: ribosomal RNA, 1017 nt
Filed under: Laonice sp. D GT-2019
Lineage: Eukaryota; Metazoa; Annelida; Polychaeta; Spionida; Spionidae
Description: SSU rRNA
Rfam family: Eukaryotic small subunit ribosomal RNA
Source: RNAcentral
CGCGAAUGGCUCAUUAAAUCAGUUAUGGUUCCUUAGAGCUCCUGAUCCUACAUGGAUAACUGUAGUAAUUCUAGAGCUAAUACAUGCAACUAAGCUCCGACCUUCGGGGACGAGCGCACUUAUUAGACCAUGAUCAACCGGGGGCAACCCCGAACGACUGGUGACUCUGGAUAAACUACCGCGGAUCGCAUGGCCUCGAGCUGGCGAUUCAUCUUACAACUGUCUGACCUAUCAACUAGAAGGUAGAGUAUAUGUCUACCUUGGUGAUGACGGGUAACGGGGAAUCAGGGUUCGAUUCCGGAGAGGGAGCAUGAGAAACGGCUACCACAUCCAAGGAAGGCAGCAGGCACGCAAAUUACCCACUCCUGGCAAGGGGAGGUAGUGACGAAAAAUAACAAUACGGGACUCUUUCGAGGCCCCGUAAUUGGAAUGAGUACGAUGUAAAAUCCCUAACGAGGAACUAAUGGAGGGCAAGUCUGGUGCCAGCAGCCGCGGUAAUUCCAGCUCCAUUAGCGUAUAUUAAAGCUGUUGCAGUUAAAAAGCUCGUAGUUGGAUCUGGGGAGCAGGCUGGCGGGACCGCUUCACUGCGGAACUGCCUGUCCUGCCCUUUGCGCCGGGCUUCACAACAUGCGGGUUGCUCUUCGAUGAGUGUCUCCGCGUGGCCCGGUACUCUUACUUUGAAAAAAUUAGAGUGCUCUAAGCAGGCGGACACGCCUGAAUAAUGUUGCAUGGAAUAAUGGAACAGGACCUCGGUUCUGUGAAGUUGGUCGUCAGAACUGAAGUAAUGAUCAAUAGGGGCUGACGGGGGCAUCCGUAUUACGGGGCGAGAGGUGAAAUUCUAUGACCCUCGUAAGACGCCCAAAAGCGAAAGCAUUUGCCAAGAAUGCCUUCAUUAAUCAAGAACGAAAGUCAGAGGAUCGAAGACGAUCAGAUACCGUCGUAGUUCUGACCGUAAACGCUGGCGUCUGGUGAUUGUCAGGCGUGGGUCUAACGACCCUGACAGCAACCCCUCGGGAA